Bos taurus (domestic cattle) is the source of this 73-nucleotide non-coding RNA. Lineage: Eukaryota; Metazoa; Chordata; Mammalia; Artiodactyla; Bovidae. The record is from Rfam.
UCCUUGGUGGUCCAGUGGCUAGGACUCUGUGCUUCCAAUGCAGGGGACCCAGGUUCAAUACCUGGUCAGGGAG